This is a long non-coding RNA of Ictalurus punctatus (channel catfish), 3200 nucleotides long. The record is from Ensembl. NCBI's taxonomy places the organism in Eukaryota, Metazoa, Chordata, Actinopteri, Siluriformes, Ictaluridae.
CUCUGUCUCUCUCUCUCUCUCUGUCUCUGUCUCUCUCUCUCACACACACUCUCGGUCUCUCUCUCUCACACACACACACUCUCGGUCUCUCUCUCACACACACACACACUCUGCCUCUCUCUCUCAGACGCUCUCUCUCACACACACUCACAGUCUCUCUCUGUCUCUCUCACACACACUCAGUCUCUCUCUGUCUCUCACACACACUCACACUCUGUCUCUCUCACUCACACUCUCUCUGUCUCUCUCUCACACACACACUCUCUUGCUGUCUCUGUGUCUCACACACACACACACACUCUCCCUGUCUCUCUCUCACACACACUCCUGCUAAAGCAACGAUGCCUUAUUCAACUUUUUUCAACUUUGUCUGUUGUCUUUUUGUUCUAAGUUAUAUACGAUAAAAGCUACAAAAUGAAGUUCUGCCAGUGUGUUUAAACCUGAAACACACACACACACACACACACACAGACACACACACACAGAGCUCGGGGUGUAUCUGCUAUGCACACGAUUCUGACACUGCAGAGAAAACUCGCUGUAUAUAACGCUAACAUGGCCUUUUGUUCUUCGUUUGUAAAUGAUUUCCUUUUUUUUUUAACGUCUUUACGGUUUUGUAAGAAAAGAAAAACUUAGGAAGGCAAAAAAUAAAUAAAUAAAUAAAUGCAGUGCAAAUGAACUUUAUAUUCCGGUUAUAUCUCGCAAACUUUGCGACUCGAUAGUAAUAUUAAUAUUUCCAGUUUUUUUAAAAGGCAGUUUAUCCACACUAAUGUCCAGACGUUGUUUUUUUGUUGUUGUUUUUGUUUAGUUUUGUUUGUUUGUUUCAAACGUUUACCGCGACGUUUUUACACUUUCUUUUGAAACCAAGAAGAAAAUACUCACCUGGAGUUCAACACGCCUCUGAUACGUGUGUCGCUCUGCUUCCGCUCGUUUAUCUGUAACGCUGUUUACGUGCCCUGAAAUGUAUUUUUUUACUAAUAGAUGAUUUAUUAUUAUUAUUGUUUAUUAUUAUUUUUAUGGCACACCAAUAAGAUAUAUCCUUUUUUUUUUUUCCUUUUAAAUAACACUGCUUCAGUUGAAUAUUAGAUCUUCACACACGUGACUUUCCUUCUUUUCAAUACAGGUAUGCCAUUAUAUCAAUUAAUAAAACCAUUUUUCAAAUAAGUCUUUUGUUUGUUUUGUUUGUUUUGUUUGUGUAUGGACUAGAAAGGGUAUCGAAACGCGUAACACAUCCAGAGGACGAAGAGAUAUUCUUGUCUAGUAAAAAUAAAAAAAACUGAUCUUGGAGCUUGAGAUUGUCUCUUGCAUAUUUCGAGCAUUACUCUGUCCACGGAGCGAUCUCUUUAAACUUUAAGACGAGUAAACCAUCCAGAAACGCGUUCCGGUCGUUUAGAUUUACAUGUUCUCGUUUAGAUUUGUUUCGUGAGAGAUGAACGUAUUUCCUGACAUUUUUGCGGCGCACGCCCGAUACGCUUCGUAGACGUCUGAGGGUUUCUGGCCUCGCUCGAGGGUUCUACUUGGAGACACUUUGUUCUUGAAUGUUUACGUAUUAGUUGUGUAUCGUUUAAGUAUUAGUUACCGGACGGUAUGUUUCAGAGGGCGUGCGGAUUGAUUAGUGGUUAGAACGUGCGCCUCACACUUCUAGGGUCGGGGGUUCGAUUCCCACCACUGCCCUGUGUGUGUGUGUGGAGUUUGCGUCUUCCUCCAGGGGUUUCCUCGGGGUACUUCGGAGGAGUCCGAAGACGUGCGUGGUAGGCAAAUUGGCGUGUCCAGAGUGUCCGUAGUGUAUGAACGGGUGUGUGUGUGUGUGUGUGUGUGUGAUUGUGCCGUGCGAUGGAUUGGCACCCUGUCCAGGGUGUACCCCGCCUCGUGCCCCAUGCUCCCUGGAAUAGGAUCUGUAACCCUGUAGGAUAAUCGGUAUGGAAGAUGGAUGGAUGGAUGUUAUAUUUUGGGGAAAUGCAUCCAUAUAAUACAAACAUAACGUCAACAAACUUGAACAUGAAUUCAACACGAUCACCUUCUCCGUUCUCAGUCUUGUUUGGUCGAUUGAAAGGAAGGAAUAUUUAGUAAUGUUUUCAUCUCCCAGGUCUUCACAGGGCCUACAAGUGUUUCAUGCAUGCUAGUCCUUCCCCUAACGCAGUGUCCUGGAAAUUCUCCAGUGCCUCAAGGACGACGAGAUCGAGACUCCUCCUCAACUCCUGAAAAUACAUGCACGUGACCUCCGGGUACAUGCCAGAUGUCUCCACAUCUACACCUGGACGCUCUUCUUAAGGUUAAAUCUUGUGAAAUCCAGACUUCGAAGUCUGCGUAAAGAAGAGAGGCGCUCUGACCUGCUGCUCCUCUCAGUCGAGUCGAAUAUUUAAAAACUACAGACAGACAGACGAGUGCUGCUUUAAAUACAGGGCAUUUAUUUCAUCAGUAGUUCCAUGCUUAAAUACUGUAAAUAAAUAAAAUACAUCUCGUUAUGUACAUUACAGUAAUAAUUAUUGUUGUUUUUAUUUAUUUAUUUAUUUAUUUAUUUAUCCUGCCCCAGAGGAGGUCUGUGCGUGCUGCUGUGAGGCCAGGAGAGCAACUCGGUAUGUUCCAUGUGUCCAGAGACAGGGGGCGCUCUCUUACCACUCUACUCAUUCAGUAAAGCAGAUGGGUGUAAUGCAGAGUCCUGGUACAAACAAAUGACCAGCAAUUCUCUCUCUCUCCCUCCCUCUCUCUCUCUCUCUCUCUCUCUCUCCCUCUCUCUCUCGCUCUCUCGCUCUGCUGACUCACCUGAUGAGGCCUCUUCUGAUUUAUAUUCCUUACCUCAGAGUGUUAUAUGCAUUUUUGUUUAAGGGGUGCCAUUAAUUUUGUCACGUCUGCUUUUAGAGAGAAAAUAAUACUAAUUAAAAUGUUUUUGUUUGUGAAAACUUUAUUUUAUAUGAUUAUUUUUCAGAGGGUGCCAAUAAUUUUGGAGCUGCCUGCUUUUUUUGUGUGUGUGAUUUAAACGUGCGAUAUUUGAUCAAUCAAACACUUACUGAUAUUAUGCUGACUACUUGUGGAUUAGGGUGUGUGUGUGUGAGUGUGUGUGAGUGUGUGUGAGUGUGUGUGAGUGUGUGUGAGUGUGCCCGAGCUCAGUGCUGAGACACUGCACUGUUUCACUCAUUAAUCCCUCUUUCCCUCUCUCCGCUCAUCCAGAGAGAGACCAUCCAUGUGAAACUAGUCAAAUC